AUGAACGCUGGCGGCGUGCCUAAUCCAUGCAAGUCGCGCGAACAGACGAGGAGCUUGCUCCUCUGACGUUAGCGGCGGACGGGUGAGUAACACGUGGAUAACCUACCUAUAAGACUGGGAUAACUUCGGGAAGCCGGAGCUAAUACCGGAUAAUAUAUUGAACCGCAUGGUUCAAUAGUGAAAGACGGUUUUGCUGUCACUUAUAGAUGGAUCCGCGCCGCAUUAGCUAGUUGGUAAGGUAACGGCUUACCAAGGCAACGAUGCGUAGCCGACCUGAGAGGGUGAUCGGCCCCCCUGGGACUGAGACACGGUCCAGACUCCUACGGGAGGCAGCAGUAGGGAAUCUUCCGCAAUGGGCGAAAGCCUGACGGAGCAACGCCGCGUGAGUGAUGAAGGUCUUCGGAUCGUAAAACUCUGUUAUUAGGGAAGAACAAAUGUGUAAGUAACUAUGCACGUCUUGACGGUACCUAAUCAGAAAGCCACGGCUAACUACGUG
This 496-nucleotide ribosomal RNA is filed under the name uncultured bacterium. Its description in RNAcentral is "partial 16S ribosomal RNA". It matches the Rfam family "Bacterial small subunit ribosomal RNA", at positions 29 to 507 of the family's 1533-position model. The record is from RNAcentral.